This is a small nuclear RNA of 130 nucleotides. Its record names the gene U4. It matches the Rfam family "U4 spliceosomal RNA". Rfam says of the family: U4 small nuclear RNA (U4 snRNA) is a component of the major U2-dependent spliceosome. The structure of U4 snRNA from yeast and human has been reported. The record is from Ensembl.
AUCUUUGUGCAGUGGCAAUAUCACAGCUCAUGAAGUUUAUCUGAGGCACAAUUAUUGCUGAUUGAAACUUUUAGAGUAAUGAUUUUUCCCACAUAAUGUUAAUUAUUUCUAUACUAAAAUUAUGCAUUUU